GGGUCCCUAGUCGGAUCGUUGUCAUAGCAAUCGGAGGCCGCUACCUGUCCCGGGAGGGACUCCCGCGUACCGGAGCCCCGAGAAGGGAACUGGGGAGGUGCCCGAGGCGCUGAGGUCGACGCAGCGUGACGGCGGCGGCGGCCUGCCGGCGAGCAGCUGGAGAGCCAGGAGACAAAGAAGGAGCCCAGCCUCCCCCUCAAUCCUCACCCCCAGGCCUGGCGACACUCGAAGAGGGACAGUGGACAGCGAGGGACAUGAUGCCAUGCACACGCAGGGAGAAAACAGGCUUAGACUACAGCCGAGAGAGACAGAGAGCGAGGGAGGCCUGAGUCCCAAGGCAGACCCUCAGCUAACAGGGACUGUGCUCCCUGCCUCACAGCAUCGUCAGCGGAGGGCCGGGGAGGAGAGCAGCUUGCCUGGGGUCAGCCGGUUAGAAGGGUCAGAGCCAGGAUUCAAUCUCGGGGCCUGAACCUGAGGCCAUGCUCUUAGUGAUUAGCAGGUGCGUUAGCCAGGGCUGUGGGCCACUGUGGGGUGGUUUCUAACGCUCUCCUAUUCCUCCCCCAGGGGGCAUGGUGGGCACGGUGCAGCUGGCUAGGGCUGGGGCUGUGUGGAAAGGCAGAGAGAGGGGCGGAUGCCUGCGGUGUUAAGAGGGUGGGAAGGGGGAGCAGAGAGGAAGGCCAGAAGAAAGUGAAGGACAAAGACAAGGCCAUUGCUGGAGGGCACAGGCUUCCAGUGCCUGGGCUGCCUGCCCUGCCGGCCCGGGAGCCCUGCUGGCAGGCUGGCGCCCAUGGGCAUGCAGUUAGUGGGAGCCCCUGCGAGUUAGCCCUUCCCCUAGCAAGCCCCUAGCAAGCCGGUGAGCGCAAGCGGUGGGAGCGACAUAUUUACCAUUAGAAAUGGCCUGAGGGGGGCCCGGCUGCUCUAGCUUCCUUUCCCCUGUUUGACAUCGUAAAAAAGCUGUUUAGACCCUGGGCAGGAGCCUCCUCCCCGCACCCGUCUCCACCCUGGAGAACCAGGAGCCCUGGGGGCCCCCAAGAGCAGCC
Molecule: long non-coding RNA, 1040 nt
Organism: Echinops telfairi (small Madagascar hedgehog)
Lineage: Eukaryota; Metazoa; Chordata; Mammalia; Afrosoricida; Tenrecidae
Exons: 4
Source: RefSeq, a predicted model, not a curated record